AUGAGCAGACCCCAAUAUUUAUUUCUUCAAUUCUCUUCUGCCGUCAGGUCGCGGCCUCUUCCUUCUGUAGGUCACCGCCUCCUGCUUCUGCAGGCCGUGCCCCAUCCCCCGAUUCCCGCAGCAGACAUGCCGCUCACCGCCGGCACCACAGUCCGUUCACUGCCGACAACCGAGGCCAUUCAAUGGUGCAACGACGAGUUCAUCUACUUGCUAGUUGUAAGUCCAAUUACAUAUGUUUUUCCAUGUUCUUCAUACAGCAUGAGAAGAUUUGUAGAUGCACAACAGAGUUUGUAG
Molecule: ribosomal RNA, 294 nt
Filed under: Triticum aestivum (bread wheat)
Lineage: Eukaryota; Viridiplantae; Streptophyta; Magnoliopsida; Poales; Poaceae
Description: partial small subunit ribosomal RNA
Source: RNAcentral